Molecule: long non-coding RNA, 209 nt
Filed under: Elaeis guineensis (African oil palm)
Lineage: Eukaryota; Viridiplantae; Streptophyta; Magnoliopsida; Arecales; Arecaceae
Description: long non-coding RNA (EGUI_LNC039320)
Source: RNAcentral
UAGUGGUAGGGUAAAUGCAUUUAUGAAUUCAGACAAGUAUUGAGGAGAUAGUACCUCUAUUUUUGAUGAGAUAGUCAUAAUGUUUGACUUUAUCAAAUAUAGAUGAAUCAUAUGUGUAUGCAAAAAGAUAAGUGGGAGUCUCACUAAACUUCUUGGUUAUGUAUGUGGGUAUCAUACAGCACAUUGAAAAGGUAGUCCCGAUAUUACAC